This 1536-nucleotide ribosomal RNA is filed under the name Klebsiella pneumoniae. RNAcentral describes it as "bacterial SSU rRNA". It matches the Rfam family "Bacterial small subunit ribosomal RNA". Lineage: Bacteria; Pseudomonadati; Pseudomonadota; Gammaproteobacteria; Enterobacterales; Enterobacteriaceae. The record is from RNAcentral.
UUGAAGAGUUUGAUCAUGGCUCAGAUUGAACGCUGGCGGCAGGCCUAACACAUGCAAGUCGAGCGGUAGCACAGAGAGCUUGCUCUCGGGUGACGAGCGGCGGACGGGUGAGUAAUGUCUGGGAAACUGCCUGAUGGAGGGGGAUAACUACUGGAAACGGUAGCUAAUACCGCAUAACGUCGCAAGACCAAAGUGGGGGACCUUCGGGCCUCAUGCCAUCAGAUGUGCCCAGAUGGGAUUAGCUAGUAGGUGGGGUAACGGCUCACCUAGGCGACGAUCCCUAGCUGGUCUGAGAGGAUGACCAGCCACACUGGAACUGAGACACGGUCCAGACUCCUACGGGAGGCAGCAGUGGGGAAUAUUGCACAAUGGGCGCAAGCCUGAUGCAGCCAUGCCGCGUGUGUGAAGAAGGCCUUCGGGUUGUAAAGCACUUUCAGCGGGGAGGAAGGCGUUAAGGUUAAUAACCUUGGCGAUUGACGUUACCCGCAGAAGAAGCACCGGCUAACUCCGUGCCAGCAGCCGCGGUAAUACGGAGGGUGCAAGCGUUAAUCGGAAUUACUGGGCGUAAAGCGCACGCAGGCGGUCUGUCAAGUCGGAUGUGAAAUCCCCGGGCUCAACCUGGGAACUGCAUUCGAAACUGGCAGGCUAGAGUCUUGUAGAGGGGGGUAGAAUUCCAGGUGUAGCGGUGAAAUGCGUAGAGAUCUGGAGGAAUACCGGUGGCGAAGGCGGCCCCCUGGACAAAGACUGACGCUCAGGUGCGAAAGCGUGGGGAGCAAACAGGAUUAGAUACCCUGGUAGUCCACGCCGUAAACGAUGUCGAUUUGGAGGUUGUGCCCUUGAGGCGUGGCUUCCGGAGCUAACGCGUUAAAUCGACCGCCUGGGGAGUACGGCCGCAAGGUUAAAACUCAAAUGAAUUGACGGGGGCCCGCACAAGCGGUGGAGCAUGUGGUUUAAUUCGAUGCAACGCGAAGAACCUUACCAGGUCUUGACAUCCACAGAACUUUCCAGAGAUGGAUUGGUGCCUUCGGGAACUGUGAGACAGGUGCUGCAUGGCUGUCGUCAGCUCGUGUUGUGAAAUGUUGGGUUAAGUCCCGCAACGAGCGCAACCCUUAUCCUUUGUUGCCAGCGGUCCGGCCGGGAACUCAAAGGAGACUGCCAGUGAUAAACUGGAGGAAGGUGGGGAUGACGUCAAGUCAUCAUGGCCCUUACGACCAGGGCUACACACGUGCUACAAUGGCAUAUACAAAGAGAAGCGACCUCGCGAGAGCAAGCGGACCUCAUAAAGUAUGUCGUAGUCCGGAUUGGAGUCUGCAACUCGACUCCAUGAAGUCGGAAUCGCUAGUAAUCGUAGAUCAGAAUGCUACGGUGAAUACGUUCCCGGGCCUUGUACACACCGCCCGUCACACCAUGGGAGUGGGUUGCAAAAGAAGUAGGUAGCUUAACCUUCGGGAGGGCGCUUACCACUUUGUGAUUCAUGACUGGGGUGAAGUCGUAACAAGGUAACCGUAGGGGAACCUGCGGUUGGAUCACCUCCUU